RNAcentral lists this transfer RNA (62 nucleotides) under Tenebrionoidea sp. 15 KM-2017. RNAcentral's name for it is "tRNA-Ala". Lineage: Eukaryota; Metazoa; Arthropoda; Insecta; Coleoptera. The record is from RNAcentral.
AGGAUAAUAGUUUAAUUAAAACAUUUAAGUUGCAUUUGAAAAUUAUAUCAAUAUUUAUCUUU